Molecule: ribosomal RNA, 434 nt
Filed under: uncultured bacterium
Lineage: Bacteria
Description: partial 16S ribosomal RNA
Rfam family: Bacterial small subunit ribosomal RNA
Source: RNAcentral
AGCGAACGCUGGCGGCAGGCCUAACACAUGCAAGUCGAACGAACCUUUCGGGGUUAGUGGCGGACGGGUGAGUAACACGUGGGAACGUGCCUUUAGGUUCGGAAUAACUCAGGGAAACUUGUGCUAAUACCGAAUGUGCCCUUCGGGGGAAAGAUUUAUCGCCUUUAGAGCGGCCCGCGUCUGAUUAGCUAGUUGGUUGAGGUAAUGGCUCACCAAGGCGACGAUCAGUAGCUGGUCUGAGAUGAUGAUCAGCCACAUUGGGACUGAGACACGGCCCAAACUCCUACGGGAGGCAGCAGUGGGGAAUCUUGCGCAAUGGGCGAAAGCCUGACGCAGCCAUGCCGCGUGAAUGAUGAAGGUCUUAGGAUUGUAAAAUUCUUUCACCGGGGACGAUAAUGACGGUACCCGGAGAAGAAGCCCCGGCUAACUUCGUG